GACGCUACGGACUUAAAAUCCGUCGACUUUAAAAAUCAUGAGGGUUCAAGUCCCUCUAUCCCCA
This 64-nucleotide transfer RNA is filed under the name Phelipanche cilicica. Its description in RNAcentral is "partial tRNA-Leu". It matches the Rfam family "tRNA", at positions 20 to 71 of the family's 71-position model. Rfam says of the family: Transfer RNA (tRNA) molecules are approximately 80 nucleotides in length. Their secondary structure includes four short double-helical elements and three loops (D, anti-codon, and T loops). Lineage: Eukaryota; Viridiplantae; Streptophyta; Magnoliopsida; Lamiales; Orobanchaceae. The record is from RNAcentral.